RNAcentral lists this RNase P RNA (342 nucleotides) under Chloroflexota bacterium. Its description in RNAcentral is "Bacterial RNase P class A". It matches the Rfam family "Bacterial RNase P class A". From Rfam's summary of the family: Ribonuclease P (RNase P) is a ubiquitous endoribonuclease, found in archaea, bacteria and eukarya as well as chloroplasts and mitochondria. Its best characterised activity is the generation of mature 5'-ends of tRNAs by cleaving the 5'-leader elements of precursor-tRNAs. Lineage: Bacteria; Bacillati; Chloroflexota. The record is from Rfam by way of RNAcentral.
ACAGUCUGCUAAAUGAUCGCUGACAUCCGCGAGGGUGUGAGAGGAAAGUCCGGGCAGCGUAGGACAUGACAGUUGUUAACGGCAACCGGGGGUGACCCUAGGGAAAGUGCCACAGAAACGAAACUACCUGCGCAUGCGUAGGAAAAGAUGAAACGAGUGAGGUAAGAGCUCACAGCAUUCCAUGGCGACAUGGCGUGGAGGUAAACCCUGUCAGCUGCAAGGAGGUCUGCAUAAAAAGGGCGGUUCGUCCGCAGGCCGAUACCCGCUUGAUCUCGAGGGCAACUUCGAGGCUAGAUAGAUGAUCGUUCUCGACAGAACCCGGCUUAUCGGUAGACUGCCAAC